Long non-coding RNA from Tympanuchus pallidicinctus (lesser prairie-chicken), 1838 nucleotides. RefSeq lists it as uncharacterized. NCBI's taxonomy places the organism in Eukaryota, Metazoa, Chordata, Aves, Galliformes, Phasianidae. The transcript is spliced from 2 exons. The record is from RefSeq and is a predicted model, not a curated record.
CCCGACCCCUGCGAUUAUUUAUGACAACUGCGAGGCCCCGCUCAGAGAAAGGUGCAAUGAGGUUUAGUCCCGCACCCCCGAAGCCCCGGAUCGCCCGGGAACGAGAAAGGACGGAUCCGUCGGGGCCAUUCCUUCGGGGCUUGAGGUUUACGGGUGCCGAGCAUUAAAAAAAAAAAAAAAAAUCGGGAAAACCCCCCUUUUGUGGUUAUUUCCAAAUGUUUCUUUAUUGCAGAGCGAUAUUCCAGAGCGGGGAUCUCCCACUCGGGGAAAACGCGCCCUAAGGGCGAGGAGUGUUUUCCUCCCUCCUUUGGGUCCGCGGCAAUGGGAUCCCGCGGUGGGGGUGCGGAAGAUGCGCUUUGGGUGCGGGCUGUAGCGGAGCGCGGAUCGCCGGGGGACGUGGAGCACCUCGGGGUCAGAGCGAAGCGUUCCCAGUCCUAACCACGAAGCGUUUUGGACUUAAAAGAUACAAAGCAGAGGUGUGACGCCCGCGGAAAGCGUGAGCGGCAGUGAGUGUUCAAUGUAGCAGGUGAGGAAGGUAGAACCUUCCCUUCCCAUUGAAAAUGUGGCAUUUCCUCUAUUUUAAUAACUAAGACAACUUCGGUAAUGAGGGAUUCGGUAACGCCGAGUUCGGUAAGCAGUAAGGCAGGGCUCGGUGAGCGAGCCAGGGAUGUACGACUUUACCAAGAUCGCAAAACGAGAGUGCUCUCGAGCUGGAGGCUGGGUGAGACCCCCACGUCCCCGGGGCAAAGCGCCAACGGCCCAAAGACAAAAAGCCAAAAGCCAAAUGCCAUCGCCGUCCCCUCUCGGGUCCGGGAAUCGCGUGGGCAUCGGGGAACAGAGCAAAUCUCAGCCUGCCUCUGCCGACUUUCAUGAGGUGCUGGCGUUUCGGGGGAAAAUAAUAACAAAUUCCGUCUUCCCGCAGGUUGGUUUGGUGUUUGCAAGCAUGUGUCCUUCUGCUCUUGCUAGGGAAGCAGGAUGGGCGAGGAUCGGGGCUCAGGCGGUGCCCGCCGGGCGGAGCUGGGAACAACUCGCAGCCGCGGACAGCCCGUUCCCGCUGCCACCGGCCCUGGGAGCGACUUUCUCGUUAUUCCGACCGCCUUUCGCCCCGGAUUUCUGGGGCAGCCGGAAGGAAUUUGCCUUACCCGCGUUCGGUUUUCCAUCACCCGAAGGGAUGGCGUGAAGAGCCCGGCAAACUCGCCGGAGCCUCCCGAGAGCGCGAAGGGUUAAGGAAAGCCGUUUGUCUGCUCAUUAUCGGUUUCUCUUUACUACUGAGAACCGAACCCGAGCUCCGCUCGUAUCAACGUGUCCUUAAUGCCUUUUCCAGUCAUUGAUCUGGUCAAAGUCACCGCAGAAAUACUAGUGACAGAGACUCAAUUCCAGACAACGUGACCAAUGCAAGUAUUUAGAAGGCAUUCAAUAAAAAAACCUUUCCCGGAGAGCGAACGAUUUCACCUUGCAACAAAGAGCGCUCGGCUAAUUGAAAUAAUGCACUCGGAUGUGCGGCCGGGCCGGGAGCCGGCGGGGGAGGGGCUGCUCGGUGCGGGGCCGGGGAGCCCCGGGGGGGGCGAGGAGACGCAGCCCGGCGCCCGAAUCCGAACGGCCGUCAGGAGGGAGCUGCAGGGCCGAGCGACCGCAGCUCGUAACUGGAAGCGUCUGCUCCCAUCCCUGCCUUCUUCUCACCUUCUUCGUAAUCGAUUCGAUGUUGGGAUUAUGUUUAUUUUGCGGAUCUAUCAGCCCCCAGACGCCCCUUAGGAUCUGAUUCAUCUCUCGCGCUAGGUUUAAUUCAGCAGCUACUCGCAGGUAGAUUAAAAUAAAUGUAAUAAAUGUGAUGUAUAGUU